Phrynosoma platyrhinos (Desert horned lizard) is the source of this 73-nucleotide non-coding RNA. Lineage: Eukaryota; Metazoa; Chordata; Lepidosauria; Squamata; Phrynosomatidae. The record is from the annotation of a GenBank genome assembly.
GCCAGUGUGGUGUAGUGGUUUGAGUGUUGGAUUAGGACUCUGGGAGGCCAAGGUUCGAAUCCUCGCUUGGCCA